Molecule: ribosomal RNA, 440 nt
Filed under: uncultured bacterium
Lineage: Bacteria
Description: partial 16S ribosomal RNA
Rfam family: Bacterial small subunit ribosomal RNA
Source: RNAcentral
CCUACGGGAGGCUGCAGUAAGGGAUAUUGGUCAAUGGGCGAAACCCUGAACCAGCAACGCCGCGUGAGGGAAGACGGUUUUCGGAUUGUAAAGCUCUGUCCUCGGGGAAGAUGAUGACGGUAGCAGAGGAGGUAGCUCCUGCUAUCUACGUGCCAGCAGCCGCGGUAAUACGGAGGGAGCGAGCGUUCGCCGGAUUUACUGGGUGUAACGGGUGCGUAGGCGGCUUGGCAAGUCAGAAGUGAAAUCCAUGGGCUUAACCCGUGAACUGCAAUGGAAACUGUCGAGCUUGAGUGAAGUAGAGGGAGGCGGAAUUCCCGGUGUAGCGGUGAAAUGCGUAGAGAUCGGGAGGAACACCAGUGGCGAAGGCGGCCUACUGGGCUUUAACUGACGCUGAGGCGCGAAAGCGUGGGUAGCAAACAGGAUUAGAUACCCCAGUAGUC